RNAcentral lists this ribosomal RNA (493 nucleotides) under uncultured bacterium. Its description in RNAcentral is "bacterial SSU rRNA". It matches the Rfam family "Bacterial small subunit ribosomal RNA", at positions 8 to 526 of the family's 1533-position model. The record is from RNAcentral.
AGAGUUUGAUCCUGGCUCAGGACGAACGCUGGCGGCGUGCCUAACACAUGCAAGUCGCACGGGGUAGCAAUACCCAGUGGCAGACGGGUGCGUAACACGUGAGGAACAUGCCGAUCGGUGGGGGAUAGCCGGCCCAACGGCCGGGUAAUACCGCGUAUCACCGCGUGGGGGCAUCCCCGUGCGGUGAAAGCAGCAAUGCGCCGAUCGAGUGCCUCGCGGCCUAUCAGCUAGUUGGUGGGGUAAUGGCCCACCAAGGCUACGACGGGUAGCUGGUCUGAGAGGAUGAUCAGCCACAUUGGGACUGAGACACGGCCCAGACUCCUACGGGAGGCAGCAGUGGGGAAUAUUGCGCAAUGGCCGAAAGGCUGACGCAGCGACGCCGCGUGUGGGAUGAAGGUCUUCGGAUCGUAAACCACUGUCGCGAGGGACGAAAUUCUGACGGUACCUCGAAAGGAAGCACCGGCUAACUCUGUGCCAGCAGCCGCGGUAAUAC